CAGUCGCCGCGGUAAUACGAAGGGGGCUAGCGUUGUUCGGAAUUACUGGGCGUAAAGCGCACGUAGGCGGAUAUUUAAGUCAGGGGUGAAAUCCCAGAGCUCAACUCUGGAACUGCCUUUGAUACUGGGUAUCUUGAGUAUGGAAGAGGUUAGUGGAAUUGCGAGUGUAGAGGUGAAAUUCGUAGAUAUUCGCAGGAACACCAGUGGCGAAGGCGGCUAACUGGUCCAUAACUGACGCUGAGGUGCGAAAGCGUGGGGAGCAAACAGGAUUAGAUACCCCGGUAGUCCCUGUCUCUUAUAC
Molecule: ribosomal RNA, 301 nt
Filed under: uncultured bacterium
Lineage: Bacteria
Description: partial 16S ribosomal RNA
Rfam family: Bacterial small subunit ribosomal RNA
Source: RNAcentral